Molecule: ribosomal RNA, 2430 nt
Filed under: Triticum aestivum (bread wheat)
Lineage: Eukaryota; Viridiplantae; Streptophyta; Magnoliopsida; Poales; Poaceae
Description: partial small subunit ribosomal RNA
Source: RNAcentral
AUGGAUGGUCACCAAGUUGCGAUGAACAGGACGAGGGCGCUGGAGGCCUUGUCCCCCUACCUAGAGAAUCCCCGGCAGAUAGUCAUCCGCAAUGAAGCUUUCGUGGCUGUGGCAGCCGCGAUGCUGUUCCUGCAACUCAUCCUCGGUCCUUGGCGCCGGCGGUCGAGCCAUUGGUUCGUGCAAGGUACUCUCUGGGUAGCUUACACGGUCUCCUUCCCUCUCAUCACCUACACCCUUGGUCAGAUGGUGACCUCACCCGUGAAGAACAUGUUGUAUCCUGUUUGGGCUCUGAUCCUCUUCUGGGCAGCCGGCUGUGCCAAUGCCUUCGUGGCUUAUAAUAUCGAAGACAACAAGCGGUGGAAGCGGUACCUCUUUGAGAUCCUUCAGUAUUUGGUGUAUCUGUCCGUUAUAUUCCGGCUGCUUCGUCCUGCUAGUGCUACGUCACAUUCUUUACAGCCAAUUGCCGCAGCCCUGCUGUCGGCCGUGCUGUUUAAUGCCAAUGUAUUAAGAGUAUUUUCUUGUUGGAGGGUCACAAAUUCUAUUCCCAGCAAAUUAGUAGCCGACUACAUGAUGGCUCAGGUUCAGGUUCAGGUUCAGGUGCAAGAGGAGACUUUCACGAUGAACGGCUGCAAAUACUUUGUCUGGCAUCCUUUUUUGGGACCAAACGGCAUACAUGAAGAGGAUGGUGCCAUCACCAUACAGGCAAUAUGGGGCAUGGCAUUUGAUGAUGAAAGCAUGAGAGAUUUAUGCCUCUCGUUUGCUCUGUCUCACUUACUGUGUCGCCGCUACUUUGAGAUGGAUUGUGCUGAAGCCAGACUACCCAAGACGCUCGAGUUUGCACUUGAGGGUUUGUUGCCACAAGUGGACCAAGUCAACCAUUACUCAAGAGCAUUUCAUGUCAUCGAGGUAGAAUUGGGCUUCCUCUAUGACUUCUUCUUCACAAAACAUGCAAAUCUCUUUUCCACACAGGAUCAAUUCCUUGUGCUGAUUGUUCUCAUACUGAUUUGCACACCUAUCGCCGGAGUAUUUCUGAUUGUAUAUCCCCCCAUUGUCAACACACUUGACCCUAUAAUCGAAGUUGGCACAAGACGGGUUGAUGUUAUUAUUACAGUCGUGAUUGUGGGAGCUCUCCUCGUAUUUGAAGCUUUGCAGGCUAUAGUCUAUCUGAAAUCGGAUUGGGCCGCUGUUUCGCUCGCUUGCAGCUAUACCAGAGGGCGUGCAAGCAAAUUCGUUCCGUCCAUCAUUCGCUUUCUUAGAAGGUUUAAGUUUGACAAUUUUCUUGGCAGGAGGAUUAGUGUUUUUGGAUAUUGGCAAAAUAAGAUGGGCCAGUCAUCUCUAAUUGGAGGCAACUUGCUUCUCAAUUGGUUCUUUUCGGGUCAUGUUGGUGGAGACACAUUUUUACCAGUGCUUUCAUUAUUGGCUGUAUGGAACUGUUUGAAACUUGUUUCUUCAAUGAUAUUCUCAAUGAAGACUUUCGUGGUGGUUCCUGAUUUGGUCAAGAGCCAUAUAAUUUCCUGCUUGCGCACAUAUGGCACCGGUGGUGGUCCUCUAACUAAUGGAAGAGCAUCAUUGGAGCGGAAUGGUGUCCUUGGUGAUUUCUCCUCUACACUGGAAAAUGAUAGCCAGAUAAAAGUGAUGCUUAUUUGGCACAUCGCAACUGAGUACUGCAAUAUUGCAUCUUUCAAUGGUGCAGAGGAGGGGCUUCAUCACACGGGUGCACAACAAGUUGCCACAACUUUGUCCAAGUAUUGUGCUUACUUAAUGUACUUCGUUCCAGAAUUACUCGCCGAGAACUCUACAGACACACUAUUCAUAGUCCAUGACGUGCUAAAGAAAGUACAGAGUGCACUGGGUGGUGACAUUCCUACUAAGGAUAUAUUGCUCAGGGUCAUCCAGAAUUCUGAAACUAUCAGGAGUAACCAGGAUCAAACUGUCGUCCAUGAUUCUGAAGGCCCUGAGAACCAUGCUACCAUAAUCCAAAUUCCUCCAGUCAGCAACAACACAGACAACAUCAUCCAUGACUCCGGCGGCGGCGGCAGCGGCAGCACGGAUAACAUCAUCAGCGACUCCAGCGGCAGCAGCAACACGGAUAACAUCAUACACGACUCCAGCAGCGGUAGCAACAACGGCCAUACUAGCAUCGCCCAGGAUUCCGCCACCAACAACAUUGAAGAUAGCAUCCUCAUCAAAGGAUUGAAGCUAGGGAGGGAUCUGGAGGCGAAAGAUGUUGACCUCCGCUGGAAGGUGAUGGCAGAAUUCUGGGCUGAGACCAUCAUCUACAUUGCGCCAUCGGACAAAGCCGCAGAGCACAUGGAGCGGCUUGCGCAAGGAGGGGAAUUCCUUACUCAUAUCUGGGCUCUCCUCACGCACGCAGGCAUUCUAAAGCGUGACCACAUGAUCCCAAUACCAGAACAGAUACCAACCACAUGA